GGGGUAGGUAGUACAAGAAGAAGCUUCUAACUUCCCCCUUAAGCGGUUAAAUUCCGUUUCUACCCCU
RNAcentral lists this transfer RNA (67 nucleotides) under Plesionika sindoi. RNAcentral describes it as "tRNA-Ser". Lineage: Eukaryota; Metazoa; Arthropoda; Malacostraca; Decapoda; Pandalidae. The record is from RNAcentral.